GUUUUCUUGCUUUGUGAUUUUUUUCUAGCAUCGUAACACUGUUUUGUAUACCAUGGUUUCUGGUUAGUUCUUUGUGUUGUAGUGCGUGGAUUUUUAACAAAUGUUUCGUUUGCAGAUGAUACGAGUAUUUCGCCAAUACUAUCAACAACUUUGUCAAUUUCGUGUUGAGUACAAUGAUCACUCGAGUGUAGAAUGUGAAGGUCGUUUAGUAUUGCCGAUAACUGUUCUUUUUUGUUAUGAACUGUAUUGACAAACUGAAUU
This 261-nucleotide long non-coding RNA is filed under the name Mytilus galloprovincialis (Mediterranean mussel). The record is from RNAcentral. Lineage: Eukaryota; Metazoa; Mollusca; Bivalvia; Mytilida; Mytilidae.